GUGUUGAGGGAGAACAGAGAAGGUUUGCACUGCCCUUGACAAGGAUGCAAGAGGCCCUGGGCCUGAAACCAACAUGCACACUGUUAACAUUUACAACAAAAGCCACUU
RNAcentral lists this non-coding RNA (108 nucleotides) under Chinchilla lanigera (long-tailed chinchilla). Lineage: Eukaryota; Metazoa; Chordata; Mammalia; Rodentia; Chinchillidae. The record is from RNAcentral.